AACGAACGUUGGCGGCGUGGAUGAGGCAUGCAAGUCGAACGCGAAAGCCGCAAGGUGAGUAGAGUGGCGGACGGGCGAGUAACACGUAAUCAAGCUGCCUGCGAGACGGGAAUAACUUCGGGAAACCGAAGCUAAGACCCGAUGGCCUGCACGGACCGCAUGGUUGGUGCAGUAAAUGGGCGGGAUCCUUCGGGACCGCCUGCUCGCAGAGGUGAUUGCGGCCCAUCAGCUAGUUGGUAGGGUAAUGGCCUACCAAGGCUACGACGGGUAGCCGGCCUUAGAGGGUGGUCGGCCGCACUGGGACUGAGACACUGCCCAGACUCCUACGGGAGGCUGCAGUCGAGAAUCUUCCGCAAUGGGCGAAAGCCUGACGCAGCGACGCCGCGUGAGGGA
This 393-nucleotide ribosomal RNA is filed under the name uncultured bacterium. RNAcentral describes it as "bacterial SSU rRNA". It matches the Rfam family "Bacterial small subunit ribosomal RNA", at positions 29 to 408 of the family's 1533-position model. The record is from RNAcentral.